GACGAACGCUGGCGGCGUGCUUAACACAUGCAAGUCGAGCGGUAAGGCCUUUCGGGGUACACGAGCGGCGAACGGGUGAGUAACACGUGAGUGAUCUGCCCUUCACUUCGGGAUAAGCAUUCGAAAGGGUGUCUAAUACCGGAUAGGACCAGUACCUGCAUGGGUGUUGGUGGAAACCUUUUUGGGUGGGGGAUGUGCUCGCGGCCUAUCAGCUUGUUGGUGGGGUAAUGGCCUACCAAGGCUUCGACGGGUAGCCGGCCUGAGAGGGUGACCGGCCACACUGGGACUGAGACACGGCCCUGACUCCUACGGGAGGCAGCAGUGGGGAAUAUUGGACAAUGGGCGGAAGCCUGAUCCAGCAACGCCGCGUGAGGGAUGACGGCCUUCGGGUUGUAAACCUCUUUCACCUGUGACGAAGCUGCUCAUUUUUGGGUGGUGACGGUAGUGGGAUAAGAAGCACCGGCCAACUACGUGCCAGCAGCCGCCGUAA
RNAcentral lists this ribosomal RNA (490 nucleotides) under uncultured bacterium. RNAcentral's name for it is "partial 16S ribosomal RNA". It matches the Rfam family "Bacterial small subunit ribosomal RNA", at positions 28 to 523 of the family's 1533-position model. The record is from RNAcentral.